AAUUAUUGAAAUUUAUUGAUUUGAUGUGUUUAACAUUUGAUUAACACAAAUUUCUUUCUUUUCAGGCCACAAAUUACAAGCACAGCAUCAUCAACGGUCAUUGCAAGGGGAGCUACUGCAAUCUCUGCGGUUUUUCCUCUUGGUAAAUGCGUUCUGGACGUGACAAAGGAUGGUCUUCCAAGUCAGCCGGAAUCCCCACCCAUCUAUUUACAAUCUAUUGUACAAUGAGCGGCUGAUAGCCGACUUGCGUACAUAAAUAGAAAAUACAAAACGUGGUGAGAACCUGAAUUUGAAGAUGAUGAAGAGUACAAAAAGUUGGAAACUGAGAACAUGCAUCGAUUAGCAAUUCUGAAAAAGGCUAUUGUUGCAGAACAAAACGCCGCAAGCACUGCUUUUCUUGCUAAAUAUAUACCAGCACUACUGCCCACCGCCGUCUGUGCAAUUAUUUCGAUACGUGGACAAACGCCAUCUCGUCGGUAUUCCAACUGCUUGCCGACACUUCAGCUAUUUCAACUAUUUCAACUAAAGCAUGGACUCAAAUAUGUGAUGUAGUACCCCGUGAAGUGUUCCAAAAAAUCUAUGACAGAUUAGCUGUUACAAUUACUCCUAUUAUUUUUAUCAGUCACGCAUGAUAAGAGGUUGCAAAAGUUUUAGACUCGAAGAACCUACUCGUAAAAGACGAUGACCGCAAAAUUAUGUGGGCUGAUGAAACGUCUUCUGGCAUGCCGUUGACGAUCGUUAGUCAGACGGAGGCUUCACAUACGAUAUUUUAGACCUGGAACUCGUUAGCGGAGGGAGAACGUGAAGGCAUAUUCAAUUCCGAUUUUAUGGGUUGAUUACCGAUGGCAAUCGAACUUCAAUUGAGUGGCCAGUGGCUGAAAUGGUAUUCUGUUAUAGCCACCAAUAUGUAUUCUCCUUUGACAAGAUGUUGGAGAAUCGCGGCAACACAGCCGUAUACAUACUCUAUGCUUUUAUGCGCAUUUGCUAAAUUUCUCGCAGCUAGAUAAAUAGUUUGACAAAGGCAGGAGGCAUAUCUUCACCAUUAUAUCUUCAAGUAAAAAAGUUCCACGCAUGCAAUAAAAGAAUACAAUA
Rhagoletis pomonella (apple maggot) is the source of this 1092-nucleotide long non-coding RNA. RefSeq lists it as uncharacterized. The transcript has 3 exons. The record is from RefSeq and is a predicted model, not a curated record. NCBI's taxonomy places the organism in Eukaryota, Metazoa, Arthropoda, Insecta, Diptera, Tephritidae.